UACGAAGGGUGCGAGCGUUGUUCGGAAUUAUUGGGCGUAAAGGGUUCGUAGGCGGGAAUGUAAGUUGAGUGUGAAAACCCCGGGCUUAACCUGGGACGUGCACUCAAAACUGCGUUUCUUGAGUAUCGGAGAGGGUGGUGGAAUUGCUGGUGUAGGAGUGACAUCCGUAGAGAUCAGCAGGAACGCCGGAGGCGAAAGCGACCACCUGGCCGGAAACUGACGCUGAGGAACGAAAGCGUGGGGAGCAAACAGA
RNAcentral lists this ribosomal RNA (253 nucleotides) under uncultured bacterium. RNAcentral's name for it is "partial 16S ribosomal RNA". It matches the Rfam family "Bacterial small subunit ribosomal RNA", at positions 524 to 776 of the family's 1533-position model. The record is from RNAcentral.